CACAAGCAAACUAACUCAUUUCGAUUUUUUUUUUUUUUUUAACAAUAUAAGCAGUUGAAGUAGUUUAACUACCUCUUAAUCAAUGUCUAAGAAAAAGGGAUAUGCAAAGAAAUCACAGAUUGUAUACAUCAAACCAGUCCCAUGGCAAUGCAGAAGCCCACAUGAAUAAAACAAGACAGCCAGGUACCACAAGCAAACUAACUCAUUUCGGGAAAAUACAAGUCCUCAAGGUUGCAUGCAAACACGGUAAAAUAGUAAUGCCCUCCAACAUGCCACUACCCAAGCUGGAAAAGCGGAAAGCCAGCAGACAAGACAUCUAAUAUUCACAUGAACCAGUCAUUUAUGCAGAUAAGUAGCGAGUCAUC
RNAcentral lists this unclassified non-coding RNA (365 nucleotides) under Hevea brasiliensis (rubber tree). The record is from RNAcentral. Lineage: Eukaryota; Viridiplantae; Streptophyta; Magnoliopsida; Malpighiales; Euphorbiaceae.